UGUGGGGAUAUUAAUUCUCUUCCCUACCCAUACACUGGGGACUUGGUUAUCAGUUUCCAGGUGAGACAGUCACCUCAGGGAUCAAAUGUGGGUUUAUGCCACCUUUGUGUCUCCCUAUAGUCUCAAUUUUAGCCAUGAAGGGUUAACUCCUUCCCUGCCAAUCUGGUACUCAUUAUACUUGCAGUCAAAAAAAUCUGAGGCAGCUACACUUGUUUUUGAUGACAAUAUCUGAUACAAAAGAUGUUUAGAGUUGACACCUCUCACCUUUUUGAGAACCCACAUUCCUUUUUGGGAUAUUGGAGCACAAGAACAUUAGCCAUCCUCAUUUACCUUUGGGAGAACAAGGCUGUCCAGGCAGAACUACCUUUUUAAACAGAAAGGUAGCCCCAUAAAUGCAUAAAUAGUUCCUCUUCUUCCAGCUUGGGGGUGGGCGGUGGGGGGACCCAAACUUUUCCAAAGUACUCAAUUCAGUUAAGCCCUAGGUAUUUCACAUGACGAUCAGCUGCACUAGAGAGAUUUAUGAUUAUUUUGGUCUUCGGACUCUAUCACAAUGAGCCUUAUGAGCCUCGUACUAUAGAUUCACUUGGAGAUCAUUUUGCAAGCUUUUUCACUCAGUCAACAUGAAAAGAGCCAAAUAAAAUAUGACUGUUUCAGGUAAUAAUCUUAAAUUACAGAGGAGUCAUAACAGACUCUAAGAACUAGUGUGAGUUCUUCAUUCAAGUAAAACAGUAGCCUGGUGACCUUAUGCACAACACAUCCUCGUUCUCUUAGGGUAGAGGAAUAUAUAAUUAUAAAAAACCUGGAAGUAGCAAGGCUUAAAUUACAUUGCCAGGGCAGCUUGUUUCUAAAGGGCUUAUUACAGCCAUGAACCGCAAACCUGUGAUUUUUUAAAAAAACAUGAAUUGAUGUCAUAAUGAGGUUUAAAUGGAGACUCUCUGUCUACAUUGCCUCCCAAAGGAGAGGGGUUCCCCUUCUACCCUGGGCAUAGUGCCUCCUUCUGCUGUGCCGUUUAAUGCAAAUGUAAACAAAAAGGAGAGUCAAAUAUGAAGGCUGAAUUCAUUUCCAACUGGCUGUCAUGGAUUUUCACUUUGCUCUCUUCACGGUUCACAAGGGCACCUUUCAAGUCUGGUUUAUACAGAAGAUGCUUAAAAGGGUACAGCCUACAGCAGAAAUACAGCACUGAUUGUGAGUUUGGAAACAAAGUCUCUUAGAAAGGCAAUCCAUGUGGAACCUUCAUUGUAGAAAUCUUUAACGCUACUGUUAUUGGAGCAACUGAAAAUAAAAGAGGAAAUAUCAUAUGAACAGCUGUUUUUCUACCUGUCCGGAAAACUAAAGUUUUAUUAUAAAUCUAUGUCUCACAACACAGAGCUGGCUCCAAUGUCUAGGUAGCCUUAAGUGGUUGCCUAUAGCAGCAAAAUAUUAGGGGCAGCAAAAUGUUUAGUGAUUGUUAAUUGUAUGAGUGUAGGCUGGGUGGUGCAGACAUUUUCCAGUUUGCUGUGAGCAACAAAAACCCUAGAGACAUCCCUGGCAUCCCCAGAUCUUACACGUACAAGUAAGCAAUUAAAAUGUGUAGGGUUUCCUAGGAAGGAAAUAAUUUUCAAACUACCAGUUCAACUGAAGAGAAUAAUGGAGGCCUAUACCUUCAAAAAUAUCACAAAUAUGAUACUGUAAUGAACUGGUUAGUGUGUAUGUGUACCGCUGUCCUCUAGUGGAAUCAGAACUGCUCAGUUGUGUGUCCAUCUACUAAUAGGUAAAGAGUCAUCACCUAGAACUUUUAUUCGGGGAACAUUCAGACAGGCACUUGUAUUUGAGAAAGCAUUUGCAAGUCCUGAAAGUGGCAGAAAUUUAAGCACACAUGUUUCUUUGUGCAAAAAUUCCUGCCCUACAAGCAUUAUUCACUAUUCUCCUUUCAAGUCAUCCAUUAGGGGUGCAGAUACAAUAUCCUGAGGGUUUGGUGACCAACGGUAAAACACGGAUAAUGAACACUUUAUCAAGAACCCAUAACCAAAAAAUAUUUUCCAAACUAUUUGGAAAAUAAUUACAAACCAAAACUAAAGUUGGAAGAAAGUCAGGAACAGUUUGUGAACAUUAGCCAAAAAGAAGGUUCAAUUUGCAGCUAAUAAUAUUCAUAAUAAAUAGACUGAUCACCUUUAGGUAUAACGCUGAUGCUCCCAAGUGACUGCAAGUUUCAUACUUGUUAUGCUAGAAGAUGUUCAUGGCGGCUUUGAUAUAAUUCAACCAGAUUUGGUUAAAAUUGAUAGGUGUGCUAAGCACCUUUCAGGCUAAAUGAAAGGAGAAAUUAAAUGCCCCUUUAUAUAGUGAUAGCUAGGAACAGUAGGAAGCCACUGCCCAAGGCAAUGGGCCAUAUGGCAAGGCUGAUCAGAUGUUAAGCUGUGUGGGCUGAGAGGUUUCCCAGGAAAUGACUGCAAAUGCAGGGGCUAGGAAACUAGGGUUGCUGUAGCUGUGUCUACACUACAAGCGCUAGAGUGGCCACUGUAGCAUAGACACUUGCUACAGCAAUGGAAGGCAUUUUUCUUCAGUUAACCUAGCAGCAUCUAUACCAAGGUUUAGGGCAGAUUAAUUAUGUCUCCUGAAUGAUGUAGCUAGGUCGACCCAAGUUUUAGGUGUAGACCAGCCCCGUGUGUAUCUGUGUGGCAGAGAGGCAGAAAGCAAUGGAAACAGUGGUAAGUGACCCUAGGAGCAGGCAAAAAGACACUUAUAGGGAUGGUAUUCUCUGGAAAGGCAGACUUGGAUUUCUGAGCAUGGAAUCUGCCUGCUGCUGGUUUUUUCUACUGUGUUCAUGGGUGUGCUUGCAGAAAUGACAUUAAAAUCUUAUUCAUACCUAACAUUGUUCUGAAGUGGAGAGGGUGCCAGUUUAGCCAGUUUAGACCUAAAGACUUUAGCACAUCUCUGUAUGUAUGAUUGUAUAGAACAUUUUCUCAAUGUGAUUAGCUACCUCUGUAUAAAAUAUUCCCUCAUGGACAGUUCAUUUAUUCUCUUUUUUAAAAAUAAAUAUUGGAUGAAGGAAAUUAUAGCCUUAUGGUCCAACUUUCAGAUACCAGAUUGAACAGUACAGAAUGGAUUUACUAUUAUUCUACCCCUCCCCCCUUGAAUAACCCAGAGUGAAUAUGCUGGGCACUCUAAUUUCUCUCUCUUCUCAGAAGCUGAAACCCCAUAGGUACAGUUCCUCUGCACUCAUUAUGCAUCUCCUGGGUACACAACUCAAACAAGAGCUACCUUGUGCUAACAGUGCAUUGAUUUGCUUGCACUCAUCAAAGUGAAGUGACCGCUUUACAGAGGGAAAUAUUUUGCACUUUAGAAUUAAAAAAAUCUUCCAAUAAAGUUGUAGAGAUGCUAGAUGGUUGCAGAUUUUUUCUCUCCAUAUUUUAAUACUGCUAAGCUGCCAUACAUUUAUAAACAACCAGUAGAAGUUCUUUUUUCAACAUGUAAUUCUUUGGAAGAGUCAUGGCUGAAGAGUAUUUUUCAGGAUAGUACAUUGUUGCUAUAAGCCUUGUCUUUCCUCACCUCAUCCCCUUAAUUUUUGUCACCCUCACUGUGUUAAGGAUAAUUUUUGAGCCCUAAUAGUGCUAUACUUAUGGAGAUCCAGUUGCAGGACUGAGGCCUUGAGCCCCAAUCCUGCAAAGACUUAGUUUGUGCUUAAGUUAAUAGGAAUAUUUGGGUUUAACGUUAAACAUGUCAGUAAGUGUUUGCAGGAUUUGGGUGUUAGACUGCUUGGGGGCAGAGAAUCUUAUGACAUCUGUGAAAAUACUCCCUAGGAUACAUAAAAUAAUAAUUUUAAAGGAACUUUUUCUGCAGGAUAUUUUUACACAUAUAAAAUGUCAUACCUGUCCCGAUGUUGAUUUUUUUUGCCAUGUAAAAUUUAUGGCAUCUCAACUUUCUGUUUUUGUUGUUUUUUUAAACAACGUAAGUCUGCUUCACGGCAGAUGAAAAAUGUUAUUUAUCAUUCCACCAGUAGGAUUAUUGGAAAAUAUGCAGAUCUUAAGCCAUCUAUUACGAUUGAUUCCCCAGAUUUCCUUCUCCAACCCUUUCUUCCUCUACCAUAGAACCACUUUCCUUUCAGUUUGUUUGGUAAUGUCUCCUCCUAGGAUAGAAAAUUACUGUUAGUCAGCCCACAGAUAAUGCCAAAGGGAGGUGUGGUUUGCACGCUCACUUUUUCUCUCCAUAAUACUAACUUGAUCUGACUUAGUCAAGAACAUUUCCAAGGUCAUAUCUACAAGCAAGUUUCCUGAACACAACUAUGUGCAGGCUUAAUACUAGUGAGCCAGUUAGAUCACGUUUAAUUUAAUGUGACAUGUUUUAGAAACAUCUCUGAAGUAGGACUGAAUAAAAAUAAGCAUUUGUGUAGAGUAUUUUUCCUAAAAUGAAAUUCAGUUCUCAGAAGCUUCUCACUCAGCUUCCAAUUUUUGCACCCAAACCACCAGAGGCAAGCAGUCUCAGCAGCAUUUCACAUAGUUGGAGACAGAUGAGGAUAGGCAAACUAUUGCCUUCAGAAAGAAGAGAAGCAGGAAGAAUUCCUAACAGCUAGAAGUUUCAAAUUGAUACCAGGUCUUCAACAUGGAAACUAUAGAAGAUACCUCCCAAUAUCAAGGAGGUCAUAAGGAAUGAAGAGAUAUACAGGACAUGCGUGGAAUGCAGCUCAGCCCAACCUGUAAGAAAAUCCAUUUUACCUGCAAAGAGUUCUCCAACUGUUCAAGGCAGAGAGAUGAUCCUUGUUGGAGAUUCAAUACUGAGAAAAAUCCAAAGAACAUUCUGCAAGGGACAUGUGGACAACAGGAUGGUGUGCUGUCUUCUGGAGCCAAGACACAUGAUGUCACUCUAAAAUUGGAUAGGCUUCUGAAGCCAAUGUUCAAGAAUCCAUUGGUGAUGGUUCAUAUUAGCACUAAGACAUUUCAUCGGAGGAUAUCUUGCAGAUAGUGGAUUACUUCAGGGAACUUGGAAGCAUGCUGAAUAAGAAGAAUGUUCAAGCCAUCUUCUCUGAGAUCUUUCCUGUCCCUCAAGCACAUGAAGACAGAAAGCAAAGAAGAUUCUGCAAGUGAAUCACUGGCUAGUUCUCAUCCACCGGGUAGAAACUCUCCCACCAUAUGCUCAACAGGCAAUCAGGAGGCCUCUGUCUGCUCCCACUAGUAGAUCUGAGUGGGGCAGAGCAGCCAGGAGGAGGCGACAAGCAACAGUGGCAGCAGCAGCAGCAGCAACAAGUGGAGUCUACAAGGACAGAAGGUCAGAGGGGCCCAGUACUAGCCUGAAGCAGAACUGCUCCCCUACCAGGGCUCGGAUUGGGGAAAGAUGUGUGAAGAAAAUCCCUCCUGUCUCCAGUCCCCACAUUUGGUGAGAGGGGUGAGAGACUCACAGUUGCCCCCAUUCCACCAUCUUAUCCAGCACAGGAAGGCAGUCAGGGAGCAGAGCAGCUGUGGAAAAAGCAGAAGUUGAAGCUGAGGAGAACAACAGAAAAGGAGCAGCAGAACCUUGGGAGAUGUAGUUGAAGAUGUGCAAAAUCAGAAAUGGGUAGAAACUCCCACAGAGUUCUAAAGUUUGGCCAAAUAUGGCAAAAAAAUUAGACACAUUGUCAAGAAGACAAUGUCCCCUCCCCUCAUUUUUAACCAGCUGUAGAGCUGGAUGAAUUUAAAAAAAAAUCAAAAUGUUGAUACGAAAAUGAAAGACAGAUGGUUAAUUUCCCUCUUCCCCCUAUUUUUCCCCCAUCUCUACUAGAGACUAUGCUUUUCAGUAAACUGUUCUGUAAUGUUUAGUCCACCAAACAGGUGAAAUACCUGCACAUUUGGCACAGCUACACUUGUUAUCAAUAGCACUAUCCAAGUAAUUGUGGAUUAUGGCUGAAACAUCCCACUUUUGAGAGUCUAUACAACCCUUCUUUUAGAAAUAUUUUAGCCUAGGUCCUCUUCUAAUGCACCUUUUGUAACAGAAGAACAUCCUUAGUUGCCUACUAUUUUGAAUGGAAGCUGCAGCUAAGACCCUCAAACACAUACAUCUAUCUACUAUUGGCAGCUAUGCACAGAUAAUUUGAUUUAAGUUCACAAUUUAACACUUUUUUAUUAACAAUGAUCACUCUACUGCAUGGAAUGUCUUAGAUAAUGAUAGCAACUGGCAGGCAUCCAUACUUGGUGUAUUUAAGUAAUUUUACAUUUCUUUCUGUAGGUUGGCAAAUUUUAACACCAUCCACAUUUCCAAAUACCCAGGAUGAAUCUUAGCAUCAUUGAAAUCAGUGCCAAAACUUCAACGGCGUCAGGAUUUCACCUUUACUUUUCAAGUUUUAGUGCACACUUUUGUGCAUCACUACACAUUUGUGUUAAUUACAUAUUACAAGGCCCAAGUUUUACUGGCAGACAUACACUCUCUCCUCUAUAAGUACUUGUGUUCACUUUUGACUGAGUUACAUUAUGAAUGCUCUUUAUUUUGCCUAAUGUUAAGUGAAAAAAAAGGAGAGAGGCACAUUUUGGCCCUAAUUAUAAGCUUACAUGUAGCAAUGUAAAUUGCAGUAAUUCAUUGAACUAAGUAGAGUUACAUCAAUGCAGAACAGAUAUAAGGAAAGUCAGAAUCAGCCCCUUUGGUUCUUCUGUGGGAUUUCAUUGAAAUGUGAACAUAAUGAAACUGAGAAUGAUAAGGCUGUGCCACAUAAUUCUCCUCCUGCUUUGCCUUCUCUUUUUCAUUAAAUGGUUUCAAAGAGAAUUUUUUUUAGAUUCAUAAAAGUGCAGUUUGAACAUUUAUGAUACCAAAAUAGUUUCUAUACUCCAUUAUUUUCCUGAUGUACGGAGAAAAAAAACAUCAUUAGAAAUAUCAACUGUAAGUCAUUAGUUUCUUAAUAAAAUGAAAAAGGAUUUUUAUUUGAAAAAUGCUAAUGUUUAGCAUUGAUUUAUAAGAAAUCAUUUGUUUGUUCUUUAUUAGAUUAUAUUUUAUGAUAGCAGGAGCAACAGUGACCAUUAUAUUUAAGGUUUUAUAAUGUUUUCUAGUCUAGCCCCUUGUUUUCAGUCAUUGCUAACUUUAUAAAACAUCUACUUUUGAGGCUGAAAUUUUUCAGUUUUGGCCUGCACCUACAGGUGACUUUUUAAAAAAUUAAAUUUUGAGGAAAAAUGGUUUACCUGAUUUUGGAAUAUAAGGAGAAUUGAUAAAAAUAUUAUUUUCCUCAAUCACAUAAUGCUUGCAAAUAGUUUUUUAAGCGCUCUAUAGCAGAAACAGCUGUGGGUAAAAAGCUGAAAUGUGGUUAUUGGCUCCCUUAACAGUGUAGAGUAAAGUGUUCUCAAAGUGUGUAUGAGCUGAGGCAAGAGCUCCACAAGAGCCUUCGCCUGAAUCAUUGUAACCCUUUUACGUUACAAAAGUGCUAGAGAUGGCUGCUGUGCGUUUUAUAAGAUGUGCAGGGUCUAACACAGCUUUGCAUUCUAAACAUCAUAGCAGGGAUUUCUACCCGAUUCAGUUUCGGAACAUACCUGGAAAGGAGUAAAGUCAAACAAGUCAUCUUCCCCAGUUACACAAUCUGAGGGUUCACAGAAAAGGAUACCACAUAGCGAACAUCAGCAAAUGCAUUUUCACUAACAGACCCUAGAUCUGAAUAUCUACUGGUAGCAGGUAUUUCCUAUAGAGAAUCCUUGGUUGUGGAACUUGUAUUCCCACUUGUCUGACAGCACCAGGGUUUGUUAACACUGAGGCCAUGGUACAAAGCCCAUCUGCUGACUUAGGCUGUUGCCUGAGGUGUUCAGAGGAGUGUUUUCAUAUCCUAAGGCAUUAUGGUGUGUAUCUCCUUUUUAGUUAUAAUUUAUGGUAAUAAAAUAAAUUAGAAAAAAUAAUACAUGGAAUAUAUUGACUUAAUGUUUAGGAGAACCUGGAGAUUUAGUGUCCUUCUAAAUAAAUGUAAACUUUGGCUUUGCCUCUGCAAAAUAGUUACCUCUCAUGUCAAUAAAUCUUUUCAUUUCUCACUUAAAUGAAAGCCAAUUUCUGCUUAAGCUGGUUUACUAAGAAUAAUACAUUAGCUGAUCCAGUUUAAAUAAUUAUUUGUUUUUUUUUCAAACAAAAUACAAAAAGGCUAUAGCUUGCUUGAAGAAUACAGCAUUGCCGAUUCUCCUGAUUUUACUGCAAGACUCACAAUAUUUGUUAUUUUUCAUAAAGCCCUGCUCCUGGAGUCAUGUUAUAUGAUCAUGUCUUCUUUCAUUAAAAAAAUAUUUCCAAUCCUCAUAGUUGCAGAGCAGAGCUUAACAAGACAAAAGCCAGAAUGCAAAUAAGAAAACAACACAAUUUAUUAAAAUUUCAUUAUUUUUUAGAUAGUCUCAUGAUUUCUGAAUGCUCAGGGUUAGCAAUACAGAGAGCAGUUCCUAUUUUUUAAAGUCUAUUCUUUAACAUUUUAACUGGAAACCUAAAGAAAUGGAUCCUGCUUGUCAUUCCCCAAUCAAAAAUGACUUUAUGGGUUAAACCACUGUGUUCUGAAAAUCUUUGUUCAGGAUGACAACAUGUAUGACAGGUGAUAGCCUGACAAUUUAAAAUGUCCGAGAUACUAGAAUCAUGAUAUGUUUCUAGAAAGUAUGUUAUCCAGAAAUGUUGUUUGUAGCAUUCAGGAUAUUUAUAGUGGAAACGCAGGUUAAAUGGCAAUACAAAAUGCUAAAGAGAUAAAACUCUUUGCAUAUAAAGUCAUGGGGCAAAAUCCUGAGGGCUUGUCAUGUAUUUACUCAGAUACACUUCUACUACACUUAGCAGGAAUUUAUCUGACUAAACACUGAGUAAAGCCCUCAGAAUUUAGUCCAUUAAAAAUAGCUAGGACAUACUCAUGAGUAUAUUCCAAGCAAAAGUUUCCCAGAUAUUUCAAAUGAUUUUGUUGUCAAAAUACCAGUCAUUUAUCAACUCACUAAGGGUACAUCUACACUGGAAUAAAAGACUCAGAGCCCGGCUGUGGCUGGCCCAGGUCAGCGG
Non-coding RNA from Chrysemys picta bellii (western painted turtle), 8928 nucleotides. NCBI's taxonomy places the organism in Eukaryota, Metazoa, Chordata, Testudines, Emydidae. The record is from RefSeq and is a predicted model, not a curated record.